AGAGUUUGAUCCUGGCUCAGAUUGAACGCUGGCGGCAUGCCUUACGCAUGCAAGUCGAACGGCAGCACGGGAGCAAUCCUGGUGGCGAGUGGCGAACGGGUGAGUAAUGUAUCGGAACGUACCUUUCAGUGGGGGAUAACGUAGCGAAAGCUACGCUAAUACCGCAUAUUCUGUGAGCAGGAAAGCAGGGGAUCGCAAGACCUUGCGCUGAUUGAGCGGCCGAUAUCAGAUUAGCUAGUUGGUGAGGUAAAGGCUCACCAAGGCGACGAUCUGUAGCGGGUCUGAGAGGAUGAUCCGCCACACUGGAACUGAGACACGGUCCAGACUCCUACGGGAGGCAGCAGUGGGGAAUUUUGGACAAUGGGGGCAACCCUGAUCCAGCCAUGCCGCGUGAGUGAAGAAGGCCUUCGGGUUGUAAAGCUCUUUCAGCCGGGAAGAAAACGCAUGGGUUAAUACCCUGUGUGGAUGACGGUACCGGAAUAAGAAGCACCGGCUAACUACGUGCCAGCAGCCGCGGUAA
RNAcentral lists this ribosomal RNA (520 nucleotides) under uncultured bacterium. RNAcentral's name for it is "bacterial SSU rRNA". It matches the Rfam family "Bacterial small subunit ribosomal RNA", at positions 8 to 523 of the family's 1533-position model. The record is from RNAcentral.